RNAcentral lists this ribosomal RNA (445 nucleotides) under uncultured bacterium. RNAcentral's name for it is "partial 16S ribosomal RNA". It matches the Rfam family "Bacterial small subunit ribosomal RNA", at positions 354 to 796 of the family's 1533-position model. The record is from RNAcentral.
GUAGGGAAUAUUGGGCAAUGGAGGCAACUCUGACCCAGCCAUGCCGCGUGCAGGAUGAUGGCCCUCUGGGUUGUAAACUGCUUUUAUACGGGAAGAAAAAAUACUACGUGUAGUAUACUGACGGUACCGUAAGAAUAAGGAUCGGCUAACUCCGUGCCAGCAGCCGCGGUAAUACGGAGGAUCCAAGCGUUGUCCGGAUUUAUUGGGUUUAAAGGGUGCGUAGGCGGAUCUUUAAGUCAGUGGUGAAAGCCUGCAGCUUAACUGUUGAAUUGCCAUUGAAACUGAAGAUCUUGAAUGUGGUUAAAGUAGGCGGAAUGUAUCAUGUAGCGGUGAAAUGCUUAGAUAUGAUACAGAACACCGAUAGCGAAGGCAGCUUGCUGAACCAUUAUUGACGCUGAGGCACGAAAGCGUGGGGAGCGAACAGGAUUAGAAACCCUUGUAGUCC